GCUCCAAGAGCAUAUAUUAAAGUUGUUGCAGUUAAAAAGCUCGUAGUUGGAUUUCUGGUACAAUGCGCCUGGCCGCGGCUAUUUAAGCCUGUGAGUGCCGGUGUGCGUUUGCCAUCCUUCUAGAAAACGUUCUACCUUCACUGGGCUGGACUCGCGAUCUAGAUCUUACUUGAAAAAUUAGAGUGUUUAAAGCAGGCUUU
RNAcentral lists this ribosomal RNA (200 nucleotides) under uncultured eukaryote. RNAcentral's name for it is "partial 18S ribosomal RNA". It matches the Rfam family "Eukaryotic small subunit ribosomal RNA", at positions 588 to 788 of the family's 1831-position model. The record is from RNAcentral.